RNAcentral lists this long non-coding RNA (890 nucleotides) under Heterocephalus glaber (naked mole-rat). RNAcentral's name for it is "lncRNA (ENSHGLG00000050000.1)". The record is from RNAcentral. Lineage: Eukaryota; Metazoa; Chordata; Mammalia; Rodentia; Bathyergidae.
GAGGUCUUGGUGGAAGUCGGUGUGACGAUAUCAAGGGGCGGGGCCGAAGCAGCCCAGGGGGCGGGUGUUUGAAAUCAGUGCCUUAGAGUAGACCCUAAAUAUCAUUUUAUACCUUGGAGAACCAAUUACUUAAUGUCUCUUCCGUCUUUUCCUUUCCCGACCCCCUCCCAGACUCCUCCAUUCCGGUUCUGCGUGGAUGGGAAGCCCCGGGUAGCCGACACCACGUCCCCGGCUAGGAUUACACCAAACUGUUUAAAUUCAACGGCUCCUGCUUCCAUCCUUUCUCCUGAGGUAGACCCAACAAGCCUAGGGAGUUGGGCUACGGAAAAACUAGUUUUCAUUUAAUUGGAUAUGAAGAAAGAACAAAUAUGUUACGGGGGCAACCACGAUCUUUAUAAAGGUACCAUUCCUGCAAAAAUAUUAGACUUCAAAGCAAAGAUUUUGUUUUAGAUACUUCCAUGAAGACACACUUGUAUAUCUGAGUCAUCCACCCAGGUCUGGGUAAUUCAGUAGAACUCAAGAGGACAGAACCAGGUACCAACUGAGGAAAAUAAUAGAGUUGCAGGCUGAGUGACCAUUGGCAUCUAGGCAAACCUGCUUCCUGGACAAUACUCAUCAGUCAAGAAGCCCAAGAAAGAUUAUUAUUUCAUGUGCAAAAAGUUGACUGGUAGAUCCUGUUGCCUCAUACCUACAGCAACUCAAAAUUAAAAAGUAGAAUUUUCCUGCAUCCUCAACUACCUAGAACAUAUCUAAAAACUGGGAGGUUGCUUUCCAUUAAUUUGAAACUAUGAAGUCUAAGAACAGAUGUGCUGAGAAUCCAAGCUGUAACAUAAUGAUAUUUCAUCCAACCAAAGAAGAGUUUAAUGAUUUUGAUAAAUAUAUUACUUACA